Molecule: long non-coding RNA, 333 nt
Filed under: Papio anubis (olive baboon)
Lineage: Eukaryota; Metazoa; Chordata; Mammalia; Primates; Cercopithecidae
Description: lncRNA (ENSPANG00000042770.1)
Source: RNAcentral
AUUUUUUCCAUGAAAAGCUGUCUAUAAACUAACCAAAUUUGCGAAACAUUGAAUGAGGGCAUUAUCUGGGUCUUGGUGCUCUUGUUAAAGAGGAAAUCUCAUUCUAAUGUUACUUAUUUUAAAGGAAUUUUGUCAGUAACUUACCAGCAGAGAUUUAAAGCUAGUAGAUCUUCCUAAUAUUAUUCAAAGUCUUCUUUUAAAAUAUGCAUGCCACCACACCCAGCUAAUUUUUAUAGUUUUAGUAGAGACUGGUCUCAAACUCCUGAGCUCAAACAAUCCUCUUGCUUCAGUCUCCCAAAGUGCUGGGAUUACAGGUAUGAGCCACUAUGCCUG